UUGAACGCUGGCGGAAUGCUUAACACAUGCAAGUCGAGCGGGGUGUAGCAAUACACCUAGCGGCGGACGGGUGAGGAAUACAUAGGAAUCUGCCUCAGAGCGGGGGACAGCCCGGGGAAACCCGGAUUAAUACCGCAUGAUGUCGCAAGACCAAAGUGGGGGACCGCAAGGCCCCACACUCUGAGAUGAGCCUAUGUCCGAUUAGCUAGUUGGCGGGGUAAUAGCCCACCAAGGCGACGAUCGGUAGCUGGUCUGAGAGGACGAUCAGCCACACCGGAACUGAGACACGGUCCGGACUCCUACGGGAGGCAGCAGUGGGGAAUAUUGGACAAUGGGCGCAAGCCUGAUCCAGCAAUUCCGCGUGGGUGAAGAAGGCCUUCGGGUUGUAAAGCCCUUUAAGUUGGGACAAAAAAU
RNAcentral lists this ribosomal RNA (414 nucleotides) under uncultured bacterium. RNAcentral's name for it is "bacterial SSU rRNA". It matches the Rfam family "Bacterial small subunit ribosomal RNA", at positions 30 to 453 of the family's 1533-position model. The record is from RNAcentral.